GAGACUCUGUGCGCGUGCAUAUCAAUAAGCGGAGGAAAAGAAACUAACAAGGAUUCCCUUAGUAACGGCGAGUGGAGCGGGAAGAGCUCAAAUUUGAAAUCUUCAAGGUUCUACCUUGACGAAUUGUAGUUUAUAGAAGUGUUUUCUGUUAGUGGAGUGGCAAAAGUUCUUUGGAAUAGGACAUCAUAGAGGGUGAGAAUCCCGUAUUUUGGUCAUUCCUCCUAGCGUUGUGAUACACUUUCAACGAGUCGGAUUGUUUGGGAAUGCAGUCCAAAAUGGGUGGUAAAUUUCAUCUAAAGCUAAAUAUUGGCGAGAGACCGAUAGCGAACAAGUACCGUGAGGGAAAGAUGAAAAGAACUUUGAAAAGAGAGUUAAACAGUACGUGAAAUUGUCAAAAGGGAAGCGUUUGACACCAGUGUUGUUUUUCCGAAAAUCAAUUACGAAUGUUUUGUUUUUAAGGAGUUAUGACUUCAUCGGCUUGCUCCUUUCUUUACGAAACUUUCUUAAUGCACUUUUCGGUUAACAAGUCAACAUCAAUUUCUUUUGUUGUAAAAGGGUAUGAGGAAGGUGGCUUUCUUUUCGGAGAAAGUGUUUAUAGCCUUGUGCCUCUACAAUCGGAGAGAUUGAGGUCUGCAGCGUAGAUCCUUCGGGGUUAGAUACGUUUGUGCUAAGUUAUAGCUUUUCAUAGACAACUUGUUGACUAUGUUUAGUCUUGUAGCUUACUCGCUUACUGCUAUUUUACCUACGCUUAGGAUGUUGAACUCUAUCACACACAG
Molecule: ribosomal RNA, 776 nt
Filed under: uncultured Neocallimastigales
Lineage: Eukaryota; Fungi; Neocallimastigomycota; Neocallimastigomycetes; Neocallimastigales
Description: partial large subunit ribosomal RNA
Rfam family: Eukaryotic large subunit ribosomal RNA
Source: RNAcentral